UCCUACGGGAGGCAGCAGUGGGGAAUAUUGCACAAUGGGCGCAAGCCUGAUGCAGCGACGCCGCGUGAGGGAUGACGGCCUUCGGGUUGUAAACCUCUUUCACCCAUGACGAAGCGCAAGUGACGGUAG
Molecule: ribosomal RNA, 129 nt
Filed under: uncultured bacterium
Lineage: Bacteria
Description: partial 16S ribosomal RNA
Rfam family: Bacterial small subunit ribosomal RNA
Source: RNAcentral